AUUGUGAGAACCUGGUGGAGCUCCCGAGGGAAGACUCGGAGAGUGUGGGAACCCCCACAGCCACGUUCCCCAGCUGUUUCUCGUUCUCCUGUAGUCCAGACUCAGCCUCAGCAGCCCACGGACAUUCCCGUGAAGACUUCCUACCAGAGCACGGCUUCCCUGCCUUCUGCCCGGGGAGCAGAUCUUCACUGUGACUUUCUGGAUUUGCCUGUCUCUGCAGAUUGCAGGAGACAUGAUGAGGAUCAUAUUACAGUUGCAAUAAUGGAAGUAGAGUGAACGACACAAGGCACUUCAAGUCACAAAAAGAUAUCAAUGAUGAAUAUCAAGUCAUAUGUUAAAGCUACAUGAAAUGUUGCUACAAAACGUGACAAAAAUUAUUUUCAAGUGCUGAAUGCAACUGAAACAGCAUACCACUAAGAAAAUGAAAAAGGCGAGCCACUGACCAGGAGAAAAUAUUCACAACACAGACAUCUGAGAGAGGACUUGUAUCUAGAAUAUGUAAAGAAUGCUUAGAAUUCAAUAAUAGAAGAACAAACCAAUUUAAAAAUGGGCAAAAGAUUGAAACAGACACUUCACAGAAGAUGUACAGAUAGCACAUGGAGAAGCUCAGCGUUGUUAGUCUCAGGGGAAUGCGAAUUCUCUACAGUGAGAUAACACAUGGUCACUACAGGGGCUGGAACGUGCUGACUGAGACGGGUAGUAACUGGACUCUCCUCCUGUGCUGGUGGUAAUGUAAAAUGGCACAACCACUUUGUAAAUCUAUUUGGCAAUUUCUCCUAGAGUUAAACAUACUCUCCACAUAAUCCAAGAGAAAUCAGUGCAUAUAUUCAUAGGAAGAUUUCUACACAAAUAUUCAUAGCAGCCUUAUUGAUAAUGGCCAAAAACUGGAAAGAACUCAAAAGUCUAUCAAAAGAAAAGGAACCUUAAAAGUAUGUGUUAAAUUUUAAAGAAUGCGUCUGGACAUACUUCUCUAUAGUGAUUUUCUUUAGUCUGAAAAUCAAGCUUGUUUUGCAUCAAAGACAGACUAUAAUCGUGAUUAAGGGAUGUGAGAAGAAUAUCAGAAGUGACCAAGGACACGCUGCUCAGUUGGGCCACCAAGGUGGCUGGGCCACUUCUACUACCAGGAAGCUACCACAUCCAGAGUCACAUCCUCCGCCUGGUCAGGAACCUGACCUGGGCAGGCAGCAUCCACAAUCAGAAGCCUUAGCUUCUACUGCUGGCAUUUACAUCCGUGAAGCUCACUUAUCAUAGUCCACACUGGUAAACACACGUCCCAGGCCCUGCCCCUUGACACGCCCGACACUGGACACUGAAACCACUGUUCAUUUGCUUCAAAAAACCAAAUGCCUCCAUAUCUGUACUUGCCGGCAGAAAGGGAAGUUGCAUCAAAAGCUUGGUUUCUGCUCACUUUCACCUUCCAAAUAUCAUGCAAGGCCAAUCUUACUGCCUGAAUUUAAAUCCCAACUGGAACCCCAGUUCCAAAGAAGUCUGGGAAGUGCAGUCUCCAGUUUCGCACCAUCUAAAUGCAAGAGGUAUUGGAAGGGGAGUAGACCACUCAUCAAGUGCAGAUUCACCGUCUCCAUGCCGGACGCCACAGAACCUUAUAAAACUCUGAGAGCUCGUGUUUACAUUAAAUACAACAGUCACCAGACUGCAAGACAACGACAUUAAACAAAAUCACCUUAAUAAUGUAGAUAGUAAUAUUAAAUUUGUUAAUUGGCUGGGACAAAUGCUGAAAAUAAAUGCAGAUUUGAAAUCCAAAGCUUCAAGAACUGCUCAGGUGUAUUCAUAGACAAGUGAUGGGGUGAUUAACAGAAUCAGAGGAUGUUUUAGGUUUUGUGUGCAUGACUUUUGAGAUUAAUGUCCCGGGCAGCAUCUCUCAAUUCUGGCUGCCAGCAUAAUCACUUCAAGAACUUUAAAGAAAAUACCAAUGUCCAGACUCCUUCCUUGAUUAAUUUAAACAGAAUUUCUGGUGCCCAAAGAUCCGAAGGUGAAGCUGAUAGGCAUCUGGUCUGAGCAUCACUGGUUUAGCAUGGAAAUCAGUCCUUCCAGAAACACAUCUCUGUUAAACAAAAACUUGAAGGCUGUUGAGCCCAUGGGUCUGAUGUGGAAUAGUAUUAAUUAUGAUGAUUAAAAAUGGAGUAUACAUAGCAACUUUAUGAUAGCUUUAGGUGCAUUCUCACUAGAUAAUAGUUUACCUGUGAUUUUGAUCACACCAAAGAUUUGAUUUGGACAACCAUAUUCAUUUGAAAAGGAAAAAACAAUCAUCUGAUUAUCUAAUAGUAACACACAAAAUUUUUUAAAGGUAAGGAAAGAAAUUAGAUUAUAAAUGGUAGAUUAUAUAGUGUUUUAUGACUACGAAGUAUAUUUUAUUUGGAAUUAAUUUCAGAGAUGGACAUUCCUAUUUUGCAAUGGACUAAUAUAUGCUUUUCUUUUGACAAAAAGCAUUACAUUUUGGAAAAACUUUUCCUUAAAAUAAUAAUUUCUGUGACUUAAGAAAAAGUUUUUAUACAUCAUUAAUAAAAUAUGAUCUGUUACAAACUAUAUUACACAUAUUAAAGCUAUAUAUUCUCCCAGUUGUCUUUUGAUUAUUAUAUAAUAAACAUGAACAUAUAUUCUAGAAUUAAUUAUGAUACAACACCUAAGGAAAUUGUUAACAUUGUGUGAAUUCUUCUAAAAUUCAGCAUUUAGCACAGUGUAUUGCACACUCUAAACACCAAAUAAAUUGUUUUUUAGUAGAUUCACAUUGGAAUUAUCCAGCAAGGGAAAAGAUAAUCACUACCAAGAGAGGAAAACACAUUACUCAUCUUCAUGAAAUUCUCUUUACAUAAAUCACAGCUGCUUUCUACACAGUGUUAAGUAACCAUCUAGGGUGGAGGUGAAUUCCUUGUAUUUUUCUGCAUUCCAUUAUCAUUUAUCAAAUGCCUCACUUGGAUCUUAUAGAUAUUAAUUUUCCAGUUAUUUUACUUAAUAAAGCUUUCAAAACUUAUGAGUGAAAAGGCCAAGGGAGAAAAGAUUAAAAACUGUAAAAUUA
Long non-coding RNA from Equus caballus (horse), 3034 nucleotides. The record is from Ensembl. Lineage: Eukaryota; Metazoa; Chordata; Mammalia; Perissodactyla; Equidae.